AUGGACUGCUGCUCUCCUAGACGAGCUACGGCGGCCGCCCACAGGGUGUUUGACGAAAUUCCCAUCAAGGAUGGCAUCACUUGGGAGACCAUAGAGUCCAAUAGAGGUUUCCACAGUGAAGCAGUAAGGCUUUUGACCUGCAUGUGUCACGAAUCACAGGGACUCGCUGGUGGUCUGCUCGGCCAUGCCAUUGUCCAUGCGCUUCAAGAUAACAAGGACAGCAGGCUUCGCGACAACUCAUUCGUCUACGAUGUCCUCACCAAAUCUGAAAUUAUUUGGCUCCUAAAUUCUAAUCCAUGUGAGCAAGCCGCCCCUUCUUCUUCCCCCACCAAUGGCCGCUUCCAAAUCAGGUUGAAAGUCCAGCCGAGGAACGAAUGGAGUUACCAAGAAAUAGAGGAGGAAGUCCAUCACCUGAACAUGAUCAUUGCAAAGAUUAAUGACAAGAAUGGAGCUUAUAUCACUAUAUCAGCGAGCUCGUUGACAAGAGAAGGAAGGUUGAAGCUGAACUUAGAUCAAAUGAGCCUUUGA
RNAcentral lists this ribosomal RNA (528 nucleotides) under Triticum aestivum (bread wheat). Its description in RNAcentral is "partial small subunit ribosomal RNA". Lineage: Eukaryota; Viridiplantae; Streptophyta; Magnoliopsida; Poales; Poaceae. The record is from RNAcentral.